Long non-coding RNA from Alligator mississippiensis (American alligator), 1208 nucleotides. RefSeq lists it as uncharacterized. The transcript has 3 exons. Lineage: Eukaryota; Metazoa; Chordata; Crocodylia; Alligatoridae. The record is from RefSeq and is a predicted model, not a curated record.
CUGAUGAGGGCAACCAUUUUGGAGUCAAGGGCUGUCUAUAGAAACAGGGCAGUUUGGCUGCUGGAAGCCAGGCAACAACACUGCCUGGCCAGAGGGCUGCUGGUAUCAUCUGGAGAUUCUUAACAUCUUUUGCAGCACCUGAAAGGAACGGACAAAGGGAGGUGAUGGAGCUUCUCAAAGGAACAGUUCCAGGAAAUCUUUAUUAGAGCAAGUAUUCAAUAGCUGAAAGGCAGUGAUUGUUAUCAGCACAACAAAACCAAGGAAAAGACCCCAAAUUCAACUUCUAACAAAAGAGCACUAAGAAAAUUAAGAAUUUCUUGUUGGCUGGACUGUGGUUGAGUAUUGCAUUUAAAAUAAUUGUAGCUAUAAGAACAGAACUACUUAUGGAAUGAGAAAAAAAAUAGACAUAACAGCAAAGGUAACCUAUUUCAGAAAGUUAAAUUGCUGGCCAUCACUAGAAUACCUAAGAAAGCUCUACGUAAAUUUGAUAGCAAUAACAAAGUUCCCAAAGGAUUGCCUUCUUGUUAUUUCUAAUAUUUCUCUUUUAUCUGGGAAAGAAACUGCUUAAUUAGUGCAUGGGUAGGGGAGAUGAUUUUUUUUCCCUCUGUCUGGUAUGGCUUUUAAAGCUGCUUUGUUUUAGAGUUUUUUAUAUUAUGUACUAGAUGGCUGAGAUUUGUUUGUCUGAAUGGAGAUGUCAGCUAUCGGAACACCUUACCCAGGCAUGUGGUAAAUUCUUAAAAGUAAUGACUUCUUUAAUUCAGGACUGGGUUCUUUUUCAGUGGUAUACUCUGGUUCAAACACACAUUGGGCUUGCUGUAAGAAAAGCUAUGGCCUUUAUUAAUGUUAUACUCUAUCCAUAAUCUAUUCAUCUAUUUUGUGAUAUAUUCUGAUUGUUCUCUUUAUGACACACUGCUGCUGCUUCCUUUGUUAACUUUCAACAUACCAGGAAUCCAAUAUUGGCUUCCCUUUCACUUGUCUGAAUUCUUGAUUAAGCUGCCAGUUUUUAGAAUAGAAACCCAGGUUUGCAAACAUGUAAUAGAUCUUGAAGACAAAUCCUUGGCACUGGUUAAAUAUGUAAUUAAAUUGUAAUUUUCUGUCACACACACCUACCAUUCUUUAUUGUUUUAAACCAAAUCUACAACACAUGAAAACAGUACCUGUCCUAUACAUCACUCACAGAUAGAGCUUUCACAGAAGUUUCAAUAUUA